UGGGAAACUGCCUGAUGGAGGGGGAUAACUACUGGAAACGGUAGCUAAUACCGCAUAACGUCGCAAGACCAAAGAGGGGGACCUUCGGGCCUCUUGCCAUCAGAUGUGCCCAGAUGGGAUUAGCUAGUAGGUGGGGUAACGGCUCACCUAGGCGACGAUCCCUAGCUGGUCUGAGAGGAUGACCAGCCACACUGGAACUGAGACACGGUCCAGACUCCUACGGGAGGCAGCAGUGGGGAAUAUUGCACAAUGGGCGCAAGCCUGAUGCAGCCAUGCCGCGUGUAUGAAGAAGGCCUUCGGGUUGUAAAG
Molecule: ribosomal RNA, 309 nt
Filed under: Enterobacter cancerogenus
Lineage: Bacteria; Pseudomonadati; Pseudomonadota; Gammaproteobacteria; Enterobacterales; Enterobacteriaceae
Description: bacterial SSU rRNA
Rfam family: Bacterial small subunit ribosomal RNA
Source: RNAcentral